CCUACGGGAGGCAGCAGUGGGGAAUAUUGCACAAUGGGGGAAACCCUGAUGCAGCGACGCCGCGUGAGUGAAGAAGUAAUUCGUUAUGUAAAGCUCUAUCAGCAGGGAAGAAAAUGACGGUACCUGACUAAGAAGCCCCGACUAACUAUGUGCCAGCAGCCGCGGUAAUACGUAGGGGGCAAGCGUUAGCCGGAUUUACUGGGUGUAAAGGGUGCGUAGACGGCUGUGCAAGUCUGAAGUGAAAGCCCAGGGCUCAACCCUGGGACUGCUUUGGAAACUGGGGAGCUAGAGUGCAGGAGAGGUAAGUGGAAUGCCUAGUGUAGCGGUGAAAUGCGUAGAUAUUAGGAGGAACACCAGGGGCGAAGGCGGCUUACUGGACAGUAACUGACGUUGAGGCUCGAAAGCGUGGGGAGCAAACAGGAUUAGAUACCCGGGUAGUC
This 440-nucleotide ribosomal RNA is filed under the name uncultured bacterium. RNAcentral's name for it is "partial 16S ribosomal RNA". It matches the Rfam family "Bacterial small subunit ribosomal RNA", at positions 338 to 795 of the family's 1533-position model. The record is from RNAcentral.